This 502-nucleotide long non-coding RNA is filed under the name Ursus maritimus (polar bear). Its description in RNAcentral is "lncRNA (ENSUMAG00000010995.1)". The record is from RNAcentral. Lineage: Eukaryota; Metazoa; Chordata; Mammalia; Carnivora; Ursidae.
CGAGGCCCGGCCCUCCGCCUCUAGCCCCGCGCCUUCGAAGCCCCCUUUCCUGAUAAAGGUAUUAGUGCACGCCGUGUGUGCAGUCGGCACUCUGCAGAGCGCUAGGGGUGCACCCGAGUUCGGGGAGCGUGUCCUCUGCGGCAGUAGACGAGCUCGUACAAGGGAAUGGGCAGCAAAUACAGCAGGGAAGGAAGACAGACGGAUCGAGAGUCUAAGAACUGAACUCCAGGUCAAGAACCAUUUUCCUGGGAACUUCAAAGGCAGUGCUCUGCUGACCUCCUGCUCAUGGAGUUCCUGGAGAGGAUUCCUGCGCAUUUCCCACCACGGUCUUUGUGACCGUUGCCCCUGCUCUGCAAGCUCCAGACGUGACUUUUCUCGAGUACCCAAGAACUGGCACAUAAAGACGCCUGUGUGGGUCUGUUUGCCUUUUCUCCAUCAUGCUGGAUGCCCGUAAACUCUUCCAAUCUGGAGAUCUACGUGCUUCCGUCUGAGAUGCAUUCUC